This 387-nucleotide small RNA is filed under the name Arabidopsis thaliana (thale cress). RNAcentral describes it as "ATSL091780". Lineage: Eukaryota; Viridiplantae; Streptophyta; Magnoliopsida; Brassicales; Brassicaceae. The record is from RNAcentral.
UUUUUUUUUAGUUUUCUAUUUUCUUUUAGGAAAAACUAAAAAAAAAAAAUCAAACACAUGUCAAAAUCUGAGAUCGUUCAAAUAAUCACGUGUCAUGAUCUCGUGAGUUAGUAACUUUCAAAACCGUACUUUAUAUAAUAAAACUAGGUUAUGAACCCACGCUAGAUUAGAGCUAGUCUAUUUGUAAAUCUAGUAUUUCAAUCACAUCAUGAUAGGCUCAUGACUAAAUAUUGGAUUGGCAGAAUUUGAAUAUCAUAAUGUACGCUUAACAAACCAAACACUCUUUAAUCCCUCUUCACCUCACCUUCUUGUGAAAAAAUCUUUCACAUACUUCUUUCCUACGGUGUCUCUUUCCAUCAUUUUAUGAACUAAUUAGAUGCAAAAUAU